UUCAUGCCGUAACAUGAAGCGAGUCGUCCUUCCCCCAGUUUACAUGGGACGGCAAACUGAGUGUGGCUAU
This 70-nucleotide non-coding RNA is filed under the name unclassified sequences. The record is from Rfam.